AAAAUCUGAGACACUAUCAUAACUUAACAAUGCUAUUUUUAAAGCCAUCACACAGUAUAUAGACAAAAUCAACCAAAAAAGAACCAAUACAUUUUUGUACUUCCUGCAGCAAUGUUAUAGUAUUUGGGUCUUGUCAAACUUUUAAUUUUUUUACCAAAAUAACACAGAGAGAAGUUUCAACACACAAUAAUGCCGAGACAGUUUUUUUUUUUGCUAAUG
Non-coding RNA from Cinara cedri, 219 nucleotides. NCBI's taxonomy places the organism in Eukaryota, Metazoa, Arthropoda, Insecta, Hemiptera, Aphididae. The record is from the annotation of a GenBank genome assembly.